GACGAACGCUGGCGGCGUGCUUAACACAUGCAAGUCGAACGGAAAGGCCCUGCUUUUGUGGGGUGCUCGAGUGGCGAACGGGUGAGUAACACGUGAGUAACCUGCCCUUGACUUUGGGAUAACUUCAGGAAACUGGGGCUACUACCGGAUAGGAGCUCCUGCUGCAUGGUGGGGGUUGGAAAGUUUCGGCGGUCGGGGAUGGACUCGCGGCUUAUCAGCUUGUUGGUGGGGUAGUGGCUUACCAAGGCUUUGACGGGUAGCCGGCCUGAGAGGGUGACCGGCCACAUUGGGACUGAGAUACGGCCCAGACGCCUACGGGAGGCAGCAGUGGGGAAUAUUGCACAAUGGGCGGAAGCCUGAGGCAGCAACGCCGCGUGCGGGAUGACGGCCUUCGGGUUGUAAACCGCUUUCGCCUGUGACGAAGCGUGAGUGACGGUAAUGGGUAAAGAAGCACCGGCUAACUACGUG
This 468-nucleotide ribosomal RNA is filed under the name uncultured bacterium. RNAcentral describes it as "partial 16S ribosomal RNA". It matches the Rfam family "Bacterial small subunit ribosomal RNA", at positions 28 to 507 of the family's 1533-position model. The record is from RNAcentral.